CCUUAAAGAACCUGCCUUUGUAGUGCUCACACAGAUUGUCUGAUGAACGUAAAGAAGCAAGGCGUCUUGCGAUUGAGACUUCAGUGUCCCCUUCGUCUAGAGGCCCAGGACACCGCCCUCUCACGGCGGUAACAGGGGUUCGAAUCCCCUAGGGGACGCCACUUGCUGGUUCGUGAGUGAAAGACGCGUGCCGAUGUAUCUCAAAACUCAUCUUCGGGUGACGUUUGAGAUAUUUGCUCUUUAAAAAUCUGGAUCAAGCUGAAAAUUGAAACGACACACAGUUAAUGUGUGUUCGAGUCUCUCAAAUUUUCGCAAUCAGAAGUGAAACAUCUUCGGGUUGUGA
This 343-nucleotide unclassified non-coding RNA is filed under the name Klebsiella pneumoniae subsp. rhinoscleromatis. RNAcentral's name for it is "partial 16S-23S ribosomal RNA intergenic spacer". The stretch from base 239 to 336 matches the Rfam family "Salmonella enterica Typhi npcRNA 44". Lineage: Bacteria; Pseudomonadati; Pseudomonadota; Gammaproteobacteria; Enterobacterales; Enterobacteriaceae. The record is from RNAcentral.